This 60-nucleotide small nuclear RNA is filed under the name Vulpes vulpes (red fox). Lineage: Eukaryota; Metazoa; Chordata; Mammalia; Carnivora; Canidae. The record is from RNAcentral.
GUGAUCACUUCAAAGCACAUAUGCUAAAAUUGUAAUGAUACAGAGAAAAUUAACAUGGCC